GAUGAACGCUGACAGAAUGCUUAACACAUGCAAGUCGACUGUGGCGGACGGGUGAGUAACGCGUAAAGAACUUGCCUCACAGAUAGGGACAACAUUUGGAAACGAAUGCUAAUACCUGAUACUGUGAGAGAGCUUUGCGUCCCAUUAGCUAGUGGGAGAGGUAACGGCUCACCAAGGCGAUGAUGGGUAGCCGGCCUGAGAGGGUGAUCGGCAACAAGGGGACGGAGACACGGCCCUUACGCCUUCGGGCGGCAGCAGCGGGGAAUAUUUGACAAGGGACCAAAGUCUGAUACAGCCAUUCGGUGUGCACGAUGAAGUUUUCGGAAUGUAAAGUGCUUUCAGUGGGGAAGCGGUACCAACAGAAGAAGUGACGGCUAAAUACGUGCCAGCAGCCGCGGUAAUUC
This 404-nucleotide ribosomal RNA is filed under the name uncultured bacterium. RNAcentral describes it as "partial 16S ribosomal RNA". It matches the Rfam family "Bacterial small subunit ribosomal RNA", at positions 28 to 526 of the family's 1533-position model. The record is from RNAcentral.